AAUGACUCUUGAGUAAAUGAAACCAGGUGGGUGAAGACUUUAGGUCCUCCCAGUUUGGUUCUGUCUCCUUUUACCACGUUCCUGAGAGGAGACAUGACAUCGCUGUAGCCCUAGGACUGGAGAGACUUCGCCGCUCAGUCCAAGGGAGAACGCAGCACCCGGGAAAGGAGAUACAGAAACUGUAUGUAUAUAAAGGUAAUUCCUGGUCAAAAUCUCAUCCAAAAGGCAUUAGAGCAGUUUGCUCCUAAGAAGAGCCAAAAAUGACCGGCAAUGCAGCCUGCUGGAGAAAUUGAAUCCAGCUGAGGGAGAAAGACUGGCCCAUCAGAGGGAUGUACCACGGAAGCAGAGCUAAAGAGAUGCUGCAGAGUAACGAAGAGGAAACACAGCCUGUAAUCAGCUUAAGUGGAAAUAAAUGGCAAAUUGUGGAAACGUGGUACUUUAUGCACAUUCCCUCCUCUGCUCCCAGGUGGUGGCUGUAGGUAUUAAGAGAGACAAGGCAAGUCAAAGCUACAAACUCUCUGCUCAUAAGUAAGAAAUAAAUGAUAAUUCGGGGUCACCCCAAAGACAAUGUCAUUAGAGGAUAUUGUGUUUAAGGCCUUGAGAACUGAGGGGCAAUCUAAAAUUAGAAAUAAUACUGUUUCAGCUUCCCAGAAUAUCAGAAAUGCCACUUUUUUAGUACUAAAGUAGAUAGGAAACUAUUCACUACUACACAACAAAGAACGCAGGAGAAUCAGGAUUUAAGACACAGAGAAAUUUGAUAUUAAGAAGUUCUGGCAAAUUCAACCUGCUUGGACUUCUGAGCAGUCAGUAGCUUCUUCCAAAACUUCAUUUCCAGCUUUGCCUUCCCCCUUACUCUACUUUUGCCUCUCUAUAUUAAUACUUUCCUCUCCCACAUCAGCAUCCGAACCUGGACAUGACCCCUAGUUCUUGGCUUGUUGCUACUCACAGUGUGCUGUGAGUGCAUCAUAGUCUAACCACACUGCAGGUAGAGACAGGACAGAAACUGGAGUUCAGACUAGAAGAAUGGAAGAAAAAGGCAUUUUGAGGAAGAAAUAAAAGGAAACCCACUAAAAAGUUAAAUGGCAUAUCAAAAGCCAAUAGAUAGAUGGAUAUUUUUCCCCUUCUAGGGAAAAUUGGGAAAGGGUAUAUUUUUCUAGAGAAAAAUGUGCGUGUGUGUAUGUGUGUGCAUGUGUGUAUGUGUAUGUAUCUGUGUGUGUGUGUGUGUGUGUGUGUGUGUGUGUGUGUGUGUAUAAAUUUGACCUAGCAGAGUACCAAGACUCUUCUCAUUUACUAUAAGGGCCCAAGAUUUUAUUUUUAUUUUUAUUUAUUUGUUUUUUUGUCUGUUUGUUUUUGCUAUUGGGAAAGGAAGGCAAUAGAAUUUACAAAGAACCUCAGAAGAUUAGUUGUUUUUGUAGGCUUCAUAGGCUUUGUAAAGGAACAGUUUUUUGUUUUGUAGGCUUUGUAAAGGAACAGUUCUUGAGAGAAGAAAUAUGUCCUUGAGUUUAAUAUUUAAAUGUAUGAUAGACAGAAGAGGAGUUCACUCCAAGAAGGUUCAGGGCCCUCCUGUACACGCAUCUCCUGGUGACUUGUUCUGUUAUUUCAGGUUACUGGACAGAACCGUAGCAAUUCCUUUGUAGGAGAAAAUCCUACCAGGCUUGGAUUUUUAACAGUCCUGCUGUAAGAUUUCCUAACCACUUACCCCAACACGUUUUCCAGAACUUAUAUAAAUUCCAUUCAGCAUCCAGAUCUCAGGAGCAUUAUUCCCGUGGUGUUGAAGAGGGUUUCAAGCCUAGUGGGAAAGGUCUACAAGAGUUUUAGGCUUAUGAUAACCUGUGAACAAGGUCAGGAAUAAAAACAGUAUGGCUUACAAAAGCAAAGACAUAAAGUCUUCCCCCAUCUCUGGAAGAAGUUCAUAUAUAGCAAACUCCCUGAGGCAGGAGGGUUGAAAUGUGUCUUGAAAUGAGCACAACAGCCAAUGGAAAAGAAUAUCUCCUUCCAUUAUUAUAUUGGGCAUUGUUAUUUUUCGUAUAAUCAGACAUGCCUCUGACCCAUUAGAAUGACAAAGUGCAAACAGAGCCUCAGAGGGGUGUCCUCAGGUAUAACUGUGAGAAUUGCCUGGGAAACAGCCUCAGAGCUCCCAGGCCGCAGAUUUUCAUUCAUUCAGCAAUUAUCUAUUGGGUGCUUACCAGGUACUAGACUGUUCUAGAUGCCUCAGAUACAUUUGUAAAUAAAACAGAUGAAAAUCCCUACAUUCAGAGAGCUUCCAUUCUAUUGGAAAGAGACAUAAAGGAAACAAUAAACACAUUAAAUAAGCAACGUAUACAAUAUACAAAAUUAUACAAAGUAUGAGAGGAAAAAAAGCAGGGGAAGGGGAUUUGAAGUGGAAGUGGAUUGCAAUUUUAAAUAGGUAGCAGUUGAGCAAAGAUUUGAAAGAUGACGGGAACUGAGCUUGAGGCUAUCUAGCGCAAGAACAUUUCUAGCAGACGGAACAAUCAGGCAAGGAACUGAAACUGCUUUAUGCCUGGAACGUUCCAGGAGUUGUUUGGAGUGAAACUGAGGGAGGGAGCGAGCAGUAGGAAAUGAGGUCAGAGAGGAAAAAAACACAAGACCUCAUAAGCAUCAUGAGAUUGUUCACUGACACGAAUGAAAUGGGGAACUUUUGGGAGAUUUUGAGCAUAGGAGUGACAUGAUCUGACAUGUUUUUAAAGCACCAUUCUGAUUGCUGUCUUGAGAAAAGACUGUAACAGGGCAAGGGCAGAAGCAGUGAGACAAGUAGGUCACUGUUGCAGUCAGCCAGACAUGACAAGAUGGAGGCUAGUACUAGGGUAGUAGUUCAGACAUGGUAGGAAGUCUAAAUCCUAUGUAUAUUUUAAGACAGAACAACCAGGCACAGUGGCUCACGCCUAUAAUCCCAGCACUUUGGAAAGCCAAGGUGGAAGCAUUGCUUGAGCCCUGGAGUUUGAGGCCAGCCUGGGCAACAUAGCAAGACCUUGUCUCUACAAAAAAAAUAAAAAAUAUUAGCCACCAAUGGUGGGACUACUUCUGUAGUCCCAGCUACUCAGGAAGCUGAGGCCAGAGGAUUGCUUGAGCCUGGGGUGUCAAGGCUGCAGUGAGCUCAGGGGGGUGUGCAGUGCAGUGCAGUGAUCAUACCACUGCACUCCAUCCUGGGCGACAGAGCAAGACUCUGUCUCAAAAAAUAAAAUAAAAAUGAAAAUAAAAAAUAAAAUGAAGAUAAAACCACCAGAAUUUCCUGAUAGAUUAAAUAUGGGAAGGGAAUAAGUCCAAGACCUUUCAUCUAAAUGUCUCAGGUGUUUAUUGCACCGUAAAAAACCACCCCAAAACUUAAUGGCUUAAAACAACCAAUUUCUUAUUAUCUCUUAUGCUUCUUCUGUAGGUUGACUGGGCUCAGUUGGGCAUUCUUGUUUGGGGUCUUUUAUGCUGCUGCAGUCAGGCAGUGGCAGAGUCUUACGCAGAAUUUAAUGCAGGAGAUGACCUGGGAGAAUAAUUUUUGUGUUGAUUGGCAUAAACAUGGGUAAAGGAUAUCAUGAUAUAUUCAAGACGAGUAAUGCCAGCAAAGCUAUGAGAGUUGGCAUGUAGAGGACAGUGGUAAUCUGGGGCUCCCUCUUGAUCCCUGUUAACAAAAGGCUGGUUGUAAGUCCUGGGUUAAUUCUGUGUGUUUACUCCUGCCAAUGGAGUUGAGGUUGCCUAGAGAAGCAAGCAUUCAUUACUCCAAAUAUAUGGCCUUUCUUGACCCUAAUUGAGUGAGUUAGGGUACAAGUCCUGGGUAAUCUAAUUACUA
Non-coding RNA from Callithrix jacchus (white-tufted-ear marmoset), 3799 nucleotides. The record is from RefSeq and is a predicted model, not a curated record. Lineage: Eukaryota; Metazoa; Chordata; Mammalia; Primates; Cebidae.